This 2565-nucleotide long non-coding RNA is filed under the name Lonchura striata (white-rumped munia). RNAcentral's name for it is "domestica (Bengalese finch) lncRNA (ENSLSDG00000006143.1)". The record is from RNAcentral. Lineage: Eukaryota; Metazoa; Chordata; Aves; Passeriformes; Estrildidae.
GGGGGGUGGGGGGUUUCCUAUUUUUGGGAGGAAUUCUCUUUUUUGGAGAGGAAUUCCCAUUUUUUUGCGGGGAAAUUCCCAUUUUUUGGGGUGAUUCCCAUUUCUUGGUGUGAUUCCCAUUUUUUGGGGGGAAAUUCCCGUUUUUGGGGUGGGGAAUUCCCAUUUUUGGGGUCUCCACAGUUUUUGGGGUUCCAGAUUUUCCCUGGCUUUGAGGAUUCUCUCUGGUUUUUAUGGGGUUUCCGUGUUUUGGGAGAAUUUUCCCUGGUUUUUAUGGGGUUUCCCUGGUUUUUAUGGGGUUUCCCUGGAUUUUAUAGGAUUUCCCUGUUUUUUAUGGGGUUUCUCCGUUUUUUACAGGAUUUCUCUCUUUUGGGGGGAAUUUUCUCUGUUUUUGGGGGAUUUCCCCUGCUUUUUAUGGGGUUUCUCUGUUUUGGGGGGAUUUUCCCUGUUUUUGAUGGGGUUUCUCUGGUUUUUAUGGGGUUUCCCUGUUUUUUAUGGGGUUUCCCUGUUUUUUAUGGGGUUUCUCUGUUUUGGGGGGAUUUUCCCUAUUUUUUAUGGGGUUUCCCUGUUUUUCAUGGGAUUUCUCUGGUUUUUUAUGGGGUUUCUCUGUUUUUUACAGGAUUUCUCUCUUUUGGGGGGAAUUUUCUCUGUUUUUGGGGGAUUUCCCCUGCUUUUUAUGGGGUUUCCCUGUUUUGGGGGAUUUUCCCUGGUUUUUAUGGGGUUUCUCUGUUUUUAUGGGGUUUCUCUGGUUUUUAUGGGGUUUCUCUCUUUUGGGGGGAAUUUUCUCUGUUUUGGGGGGAUUUUCCCUGUUUUUUAUGGGGUUUCCCUGUUUUGGGAGGAUUUUCCCUGUUUUUUAUGGGGUUUCCCUGUUUUGGGAGAAUUUUCCCUGGUUUUUAUGGGGUUUCCCUGUUUUGGGAGAAUUUUCCCUGUUUUUUAUGGGGUUUCUCUGUUUUUUAUGGGUUUUCCCUGGUUUUUAUGGGGUUUCCCUGGUUUUCAUGGGGUUUCUCUCUUUUGGGGGGAAUUUUCUCUGUUUUUUGGGGAAUUUUCCCUGCUUUUUGAUGGGGUUUGGGGACAUCGAGAUUGACACAAGGGUGGGGACAUGGGGACAGGGGGACACCGGGAUUUGGGGACAUCGGGAUUGGCAGCGGGAUGGGGACAGGGACACAGAUGGGGACAAGGACAGGGAUGGGGACAGGGAUGGGGACAUCGGGAUUGGCACCAGGAUGGGGACAGGGAAAAGGGGACGGGGACAAGGACAGGGAUGGGGACACGGGGACAUGAGGAUGGCGACAAGGACACGGGGACAGGGACAAGGACAUGGGGACUUUNGGUUGGGGACAUCGGGAUUGACCCGGGGACAUUGGGAUCGGCACCAGGAUGGGGACAGGGACACGGAUGGGGACAAGGACACGGGGACAGGGACAGGAAUGGGGACAGGGAAAAGGGGAUGGGGACAAGGACAGGGAUAUGGGGACAGGGACCUCGGGGCCUGGCAGUGCCACUGGCACAGGGACAAGGACACGGGGACACCGGGAUUUGGGACACCGGGACUGGGACACCGGGAUUGACUCGGGGACAUCGGGACGGGGACACGGGCGCAGGGAUGCAGACAGGGACAGGGAUUUGGGGACAUCGGGAUUUGGGGACAUCGGGGUUUGGGGACAUCGGGGUUUGGGGACAUCAGGAAUCUGGGGCCUGGUGGCAUCACUGGCGCGGGGCCAAGGCCGCAGGGACACGCGUGACACGCUCGGGGACACGCGCAGAGGACACGCGUGACACGCUCAGGUACGCGUGACACGCUCGGGGACACGCAGGGGACACGCGUGUGCAGCCCCGGGUGACGCAGCAGCCGCCUCGCGGCCGGGCCGGGGGGGCCUGGCAGCCCCGGGUGUCCCCUGGGUGUCCCUUGGGUGUCCCCUGGGUGUCCCUUGGGUGUCCCUGGCACACCUGGCACACCUGGCACACCUGGCACACCUGGCACACCCCCCGUGUCCCUUGCACGCCCCCCCGGCUCCUUCCAGCACCUUCCCCGCCCCUGCCCGGCCCUUGCACGCCCCUGCGGCACCGCAGCGGCGCCUUGCACACUCACCCACCCUGAGCCUUGCACACCCAUCCCUGAGCCUUGCACACCCACCCUGAGCCUUGCACACCCACCCUGAGCCUUGCACGCUCAUCCCUGAGCCUUGCACACUCACCCACCCUGAGCCUUGCACACCCACCCAGACCACUCCACGCUCAUCCUUGAGCCUUGCACGCUCACCCACCCUGAGCCUUGCACACCCACCCUGAGCCUUGCACACCCACCCUGAGCCUUCCACGCCCAUCUCUGAGCCUUGCACACCCACCCAGACCCUUCCACACUCAUCCCUGAGCCUUGCACACGCACCCUGAGCCUUGCACACCCACCCCUGAGCCUUGCACGCUCAUCUCAGACCCUUGCACACCCACCCCUGAGCCUUGCACGCCCACCCGGACCCUUUGCACACUCACCCAGACCCUCACACACCCACCCAGACCCUGCCACGCUCACCUCGGACCCUUGCACGCCCACCUGGACCCCCGCGCGCU